Long non-coding RNA from Onychostoma macrolepis, 1185 nucleotides. RefSeq lists it as uncharacterized. The record is from RefSeq and is a predicted model, not a curated record. The transcript has 3 exons. NCBI's taxonomy places the organism in Eukaryota, Metazoa, Chordata, Actinopteri, Cypriniformes, Cyprinidae.
UUUUUAUUUAUUUAUUUUCCAUGAAGCCAAGUUCCUGGCUUUUCCCAAGACCUUCAAGGACACGAUUGACCUCGGAAUCAGCUGUAAAGGAGGAUGAAACCGAUGUUUAAGAAUGGGACAGCGAUAUUGCAUCAAUGUGUCUCCUUCAUUUGAUUCCACCAUCACCACAAGGCUGCAAGGGACCUGGAGAAAUGUCCUCCUAUCAAGCUGAAAAACAUCUUCAAAAAGGCACUAACCAGAAGAACACCUUGUAGAGACCACACAGCCGUAUAGGGUUGUUCCGAUUCCGAUACUAGUAUCGGAAAUUUCACCGAUACCACAAAAAAUUCUGGCAUCGGUAUCGGCGAGUACUUGAACCCAUGUACCGAUCCGAUACCAUUUUCUUAAACAAGACCUAUAGUUAUGCGCGCUAGCUUUGCUUAACGCUGCAAAUAGGAAAUAAAUUCUUCUUCGCUGCUCAGAAUGCAAACACAGGAAGCUGUGCUGUGUUGCCACAAGCAACCACUAUUUAGAGCAGCGAAGAAGUACAAACGUGCAAGCACAUUGCCAGUAAAUCACUUGCAUAUGCGACUAAAUCUUCACCCUGGGCGACUAUGUGAUGUCUAAUAUUAGCCACUGGCUGAUAAAUAAUCAGAUUUUAUAGUAUGUGAGUUGGAGUCUAUGUAUAAGUUUAGCACAGAUAUAUUGUCACUCGCCGAACACUCUGACUGAGCGCUUCAGAGUUUCACUCUCCGUCAAGCGAUCUAUUUUUCAGAUCAUCUGAAUGAAUACGCAGCGCACCUGUAUUUGACGCACCGUAAGCUCUAGUGUGAAGUGCACGACUCGCCAUCGCUUUGCUUUUUUUCUCACAUGCAGCGAGAGAGAGAGAGUCUUUUACAUGUAGCGCGUCAAUUCUGCUUGGUAUGUAAACGAUAUUCUUUGUUGUAUUUUUCUGUCAAAGUGGAGUUCCUUUGGAAUUCUAACUGCCGGGUUCUCCGGUAGUAGGCGGAGCUAAUGAGCAAACGACAAUCUCAUUGGCUGGCGCUCACCUAUUAUCGUCCCUGUUUUGAUUUCAGCCAAUCAGUUCGAGCAAACGCAGACAACGUGAUUAAUAUUCAUGAACCCAGCAGCUCAUUAAUCCUUAGUGCGUUUAUAUUGUUCUUAGUAGAAUUCAUAGUAUGAUUAUUAUCUUAUCAGUAUUAUUGA